GAUGAACGCUGGCGGCGUGCCUAAUACAUGCAAGUCGAGCGAACUGAUUAGAAGCUGGCUUCUAUGACGUUAGCGGCGGACGGGUGAGUAACACGUGGGCAACCUGCCUGUAAGACUGGGAUAACUUCGGGAAACCGAAGCUAAUACCGGAUAGAAUCUUCUCCUUCAUGGGAGAUGAUUGAAAGAUGGUUACGGCUAUCACUUACAGAUGGGCCUGCGGUGCAUUAGCUAGUUGGUGAGGUAACGGCUCACCAAGGCAACGAUGCAUAGCCGACCUGAGAGGGUGAUCGGCCACGCUGGGACUGAGACACGGCCCAGACUCCUACGGGAGGCAGCAGUAGGGAAUCUUCCGCAAUGGACGAAAGUCUGACGGAGCAACGCCGCGUGAGUGAUGAAGGCUUUCGGGUCGUAAAACUCUGUUGUUAGGGAAGAACAGGUACGAGAGUAACUGCUCGUACCUCGACGGUACCUAACCAGAAAGCCACGGCUAACUACGUGCCAGCCGCCGCCGUAA
RNAcentral lists this ribosomal RNA (514 nucleotides) under uncultured bacterium. RNAcentral describes it as "partial 16S ribosomal RNA". It matches the Rfam family "Bacterial small subunit ribosomal RNA", at positions 28 to 523 of the family's 1533-position model. The record is from RNAcentral.